AGCAAUUUACUUGUGUGGAUAUCAUCCUCUGUCAAUGCUGCGCGGGCCCAGGGUCAAAUGGCUCUUGUGAUUGUACACAAUGUGGAAUGACCUUGACCCAGCAACCCACUCUUCAGGCGUAACCUAUCUGUGCAGUGUCGUGUAGGCCUUAGUUAGGUGGUAUCAGUUCAUGUGGCACAUGUCAGUGUAGUUGUGGCUGUAACACAGAUUGCGAGUAUCUCAACUGUUGCUGUUUUCAAGUCCGCAUGGCAUCCACCACCCCCAGACCCACACCCAGAACUCUACCCACCUCUGCAAACUCUGCCCGUUUGGAUCACACCGGAUCCCUACAGCAAACUCAGUCCCUGGAGUCUCCCAAUCACAGGAGUCAGAAUUCGUCGCACUUGGAAACAUGGUCACGUCAACAAGCAAGAGGAAGGCCACAGCAAGGCCUCCAACAGUCUCAGAAAAAAACCAGAUCACAGACUCAACAUGCAAGAAAACAGCCUGGUGUUCAUCAUACCUCAGGCGUGUCGUCAAGACGUACAAAUGAUGUCUCUGGUAGUAGAGUUCCAUCAACGAGGCGUCCUGUGCCCAGAUUACCUAUGUCUGCAAUAUCAUGAUCCUCAGUGAUCAGUACCGAAAUCCUCAGUGAGGAGUAUCAAGAUCCUCAGUGAUUGAUAACCUGAUCCUCAGUGAGCAGUAUCAAGAUCCUCAGUGAUUGAUAACCUGAUCCUCAGUGAGCAGUAUCAAGAUCCUCAGUUAUUUCUUUCUGCUGAUUCUCGAGGAUUUCUUUUGAUUCUCAGUGGUGGCGAUAAAAUAAACAGUUGUGGUGAUGAUGAGAUGAAAAUUUGGCUACAGAAAAGUGUCUUGUGGAAAUUUGGAUGAGUUGAUUCCUGACACAUGCUUGAUGUGGAGUCUUGGAAGAACCCAUGAAGUGACCUGUGGAGUGAGAUUUCUGGGUGAAUUGUAGCGUGUCUGUUACCCUGAAAAACACUGUGUGGACUGUACAUUUUAGCUGGUCUGUUGACUUUCUGGCGACAGGGUCAGUGUCAUACUCAUCGAUCCUGAGACAAUUUGGACUUCUGAAAACAUAUCAUGAGAUUAAGGGAUCAAUACAGACUGUGAUAUAGUUUUAUAUUUACGUUAAAUGUUCAUAUUUGUCCAGAUGCUUCUUGAUUGGACACCUCUGACCCAAAGACAUUGAUCAGCUUUGUGCAUGUGUGUAAAUUACGCCAGGUAAAUGCGAUAACAUAUCUCUUAUCAGUGUCUUUUUUUGUUAGUUUGUGGAUUUUCCAAAACGCUAUUAGAGAAAUGUAAUAUUCUACUGUCUUCACUGCUAAUAUCUGUCUCAAAAGAAUUAGGAUAUUGAUGUAAAUUUAACUUCUUUCAAAAGCAUGGCGUGGAAUUUGUCUAAAUUGAGUUUUGGCUUGCAACUGAAAAACUUAGGCAAGUCGAAAAGUCAUACCAGAAGUUUUUGGCAGCUUAAUAAAUGCACGCAGUUACUUUUUAAAACUGAAAAUAGCAAAGUUGAUAAUUGCCCAUUUGAGGAAAAAGUGAAUAAUGAAAUUGUUUCACGAGUCAGAAAGAAACAUUUUUAUCAAACUGAGAGAGAGGAGAAAUCCCACAUAAGUCCCUCAAGAAAGGAAUAAAAAGGAGAAAAAAUUAUCUAUACUGGGUAGAGAAGAAGUGUGAAAAAAAUGUACCCUCAAAAAUGUUAAUAUACAAUGUAGUAGUAAUGCGGCAGACUACGGUGUGACUCCAGCUUUUGAAAUUGAUCAACCUGGUACCUUUGUAAAUGGAUGUGAGAAGUUCUGUAUGCCUACUUUGGUUAUCUUCAGUAAAGACUUCUAUAUUUUGAAGGAAACUUCAUUGAAAGAUAAGGAGGCAUAUGUAUAAACGUAUUUGAUUUUUUGACAUCUUUCAUUUGAAUUUCUUCAUUUCUGUAUUCGUAAAAGUUAAGGAAAGUUUCACCUGUGAAACUGACAGGGAUAUCCGUCCUUAGACCAUUAAAAUAAAAGAAAGCUAAAAUAUGCAGUAAGGUUCAUCAUAAAGACAAGUGAAAACUGUGAGUAACAAUACUUUCACUUAUUUUUUCAGAUUUUUUUGAGAGUGUUGAAAGGCCUUCAAAUAUUUGAAAACUAUGCUGGGGUUUAUGAGCCAUAUUACUACCACACCUCCGUCUUGUUCCAUUAGCUUACCUUGAACACCUCUGUACUUCCCUUGCUGGCUUUAAUCUACUACUGCUGGGCACCAAAUAAUUUGUCUGUCCGUAGUCAUAGUAUCAGCUCUCAAUUCCAUGUAGGAGUUCCCAUGUGUCAUCACUAUUAAAUCCACAUGAUCAUGAAACUAGUGGAAACUGGAUAAAUUCCAUGUUUGAAUGUUUGAAGCAGUAGUAGAUUAAAGCCAGCAAGGGAAGUACAGAGGUGUUCAA
This is a long non-coding RNA of Liolophura sinensis, 2413 nucleotides long. RefSeq lists it as uncharacterized. The record is from RefSeq and is a predicted model, not a curated record. The transcript has 3 exons. Lineage: Eukaryota; Metazoa; Mollusca; Polyplacophora; Chitonida; Chitonidae.